UGCCAGCCGCCGCGGUAAUACGGAGGGGGUUAGCGUUGUUCGGAAUUACUGGGCGUAAAGCGCACGUAGGCGGAUUAGAAAGUUAGAGGUGAAAGCCCCGGGCUUAACCUGGGAACUGCAUUUGAAACUGGUAAACUAGAGUAUGGUAGAGGAAAGUGGAAUUUCUGGUGUAGCGGUGAAAUGCGUAGAUAUUAGGAGGAACACCAGUGGCGAAGGCGACUCUCUGGGCCAAUACUGACGCUGAGGUUCGAAAGCGUGGGGAGCGAACGGGAUUAGAUA
Molecule: ribosomal RNA, 279 nt
Filed under: uncultured bacterium
Lineage: Bacteria
Description: partial 16S ribosomal RNA
Rfam family: Bacterial small subunit ribosomal RNA
Source: RNAcentral